AUUGAACGCUGGCGGCAGGCCUAACACAUGCAAGUCGCACGAGUGGCGGACGGGUGAGUAAUGUCUGGGAAACUGCCUGAUGGCGGGGGAUAACUACUGGCAACGGUAGCUAAUACCGCAUACCAUCGGAUGUGCCCCGAUGGGCUUAGCUGGUUGUUGGGGUAACGGCUCACCUAGGCGACGAUCCCUAGCUGGGCUGAGAGGAUGACCAGCCACACGGGAACUGAGACACGGUCCAGACUCCUACGGGAGGCAGCAGUGGGGAAUAUUGCACAAUGGGCGCAAGCCGGAUGCAGCCAUGCCGCGGGUAUGAAGAAGGCCGUCGGGUUGUAAAGUACGUUCAGCGAGGAGGCGUUACUCGCAGAAGAAGCACAGGCUAACUCCGUGCCAGCAGCCGCGGUAAUAC
RNAcentral lists this ribosomal RNA (406 nucleotides) under uncultured bacterium. RNAcentral describes it as "partial 16S ribosomal RNA". It matches the Rfam family "Bacterial small subunit ribosomal RNA", at positions 29 to 526 of the family's 1533-position model. The record is from RNAcentral.